This 467-nucleotide ribosomal RNA is filed under the name uncultured bacterium. RNAcentral describes it as "partial 16S ribosomal RNA". It matches the Rfam family "Bacterial small subunit ribosomal RNA", at positions 28 to 506 of the family's 1533-position model. The record is from RNAcentral.
GACGAACGCUGGCGGCGUGCUUAACACAUGCAAGUCGAACGGAAAGGCCCUGCUUUUGUGGGGUGCUCGAGUGGCGAACGGGUGAGUGACACGUGAGUAACCUGCCCUUGACUUUGGGAUAACUUCAGGAAACUGGGGCUAAUACCGGAUAGGAGCUCCUGCUGCAUGGUGGGGGUUGGAAAGUUUCGGCGGUUGGGGAUGGACUCGCGGCUUAUCAGCUUGUUGGUGGGGUAGUGGCUUACCAAGGCUUUGACGGGUAGCCGGCCUGAGAGGGUGACCGGCCACAUUGGGACUGAGAUACGGCCCAGACUCCUACGGGAGGCAGCAGUGGGGAAUAUUGCACAAUGGGCGGAAGCCUGAUGCAGCAACGCCGCGUGCGGGAUGACGGCCUUCGGGUUGUAAACCGCUUUCGCCUGUGACGAAGCGUGAGCGACGGUAAUGGGUAAAGAAGCACCGGCUAACUACGU